This 403-nucleotide ribosomal RNA is filed under the name Verrucomicrobiota bacterium. RNAcentral describes it as "Verrucomicrobia bacterium partial 16S ribosomal RNA". It matches the Rfam family "Bacterial small subunit ribosomal RNA", at positions 355 to 776 of the family's 1533-position model. The record is from RNAcentral. Lineage: Bacteria; Pseudomonadati; Verrucomicrobiota.
UGGGGAAUAUUGCACAAUGGAGGGAACUCUGAUGCAGCGACGCCGCGUGAACGAAGAAGGCUUUCGAGUCGUAAAGUUCUUUUAUAUGGGAAGAUAAUGACGGUACCAUAAGAAAAAGCCCCGGCUAACUACGUGCCAGCAGCCGCGGUAAUACGUAGGGGGCUAGCGUUGUCCGGAAUCACUGGGCGUAAAGGGUUCGCAGGCGGAAAUGCAAGUCAGGUGUAAAAGGCAGUAGCUUAACUACUGUAAGCAUUUGAAACUGCAUAUCUUGAGAAGAGUAGAGGUAAGUGGAAUUUUUAGUGUAGCGGUGAAAUGCGUAGAUAUUAGGAGGAAUACCGGUGGCGAAGGCGACUUGCUGGACUUCAACUGACGCUGAGGAACGAAAGCGUGGGUAGCAAACAGG